This 403-nucleotide ribosomal RNA is filed under the name Fusobacteriota bacterium. RNAcentral describes it as "Fusobacteria bacterium partial 16S ribosomal RNA". It matches the Rfam family "Bacterial small subunit ribosomal RNA", at positions 355 to 776 of the family's 1533-position model. Lineage: Bacteria; Fusobacteriati; Fusobacteriota. The record is from RNAcentral.
UGGGGAAUAUUGCACAAUGGAGGGAACUCUGAUGCAGCGACGCCGCGUGAGUGAUGAAGGAAUUAGUUUCGUAAACUCUGUUCUAUGGGAAGAAAAGGACUGUACCAUAGGAGAAAGCUCCGGCUAAAUACGUGCCAGCAGCCGCGGUAAUACGUAUGGAGCGAGCGUUGUCCGGAAUUAUUGGGCGUAAAGGGUGCGCAGGCGGCUUUACAAGUUGGAUGUGAAAUAUUGUGGCUCAACCACAAACGUGCAUCCAAAACUGCAAAGCUUGAGUUAAGGAGAGGUAAGUGGAAUUCCUGGUGUAGCGGUGGAAUGCGUAGAUAUCAGGAGGAAUACCGGUGGCGAAGGCGACUUACUGGACUUAAACUGACGCUCAGGCACGAAAGCGUGGGGAGCAAACAGG